AUUUAAGUAAUUUAAAAUAAAAUUUUGAUUUGUGGUGUCAAAUAUGUAAGAUUUCUUACCUUAAAUU
Molecule: transfer RNA, 67 nt
Filed under: Carabus lafossei
Lineage: Eukaryota; Metazoa; Arthropoda; Insecta; Coleoptera; Carabidae
Description: tRNA-His
Source: RNAcentral